AUGCUGACAGUGCUCUUAGCAGCCGCGGCCACAACACGACCUCAGUGACAGCAGCCACGGCGGGCCAGGAUCUGUGCUAAGGGUUUUCCAUGCCUCCGUUGCACGUACCCUAACAACCACCCAAGGAGGGGGUGUUGUCUUUGUAUCCCAGAACGGUUAAGCAGCUUACUUGGGAUCACACAAUCCACAGACUUCCCUUGUUGAGGUGAGGCAGCGCCUUCGACGUCUCUGACUCCUAGGCCAGGUGUGUGUCUAGCUCCGUGAUGGAAGGUGCCAGCUUCCCUUGUAAGUGACCAGCAUGGGCUCUGCUUCACCCUUCCGGGCUCCCAGCUUACCCAGACCUUAGCAGUCUGCUGACUCCAGCUUUCAGCAGAGCAGAAACAACGCCUUGGGAAGACUUAAAACAACUUUGAAUAAGAACCUGCUUGAGAAAGAUUUGCCUUACAAGCUAAAUGUUACAUUUCCACUCAACAGAAAGGUACUGCUGUGUGGCCGUAAAAAGCUGGCCAAAACCCUGUAACCUUUGCAGUUAGUCAUGUUAUUUUUGGUUCAUGCCAACAUGGAUCACAGCUGUGACUCAACAGAGCCACUGAAGCAAGAAUUCAAAGAGUUUAAAGAACAGCAAACUCAGAAAUGACUUUUUUUUUCUUAUGGUGUCAUUACGCAACAUUUCUUGUCGUUUACCUUUUCUAAUUUACCAACUCCAUACAGAUGAGCUCAGUCGUUGUUUGGCAAUUGAAAAUCUGAGUUGCGUCAGCACACUUCCCCAAAUCCCACUGCAGGCGGAGGAUGAUGAAGCUUUCCUUUCUGGGGUGUUUGUUUUACGUAAGUAGUGACUUACUUUUCAGAGGUAAAAAAAAAAAAAAAAUCUGUGUUGAUAUAUGUCUCCCUCAAACCAAAAAUAGGACUGGGGAUUGAUUUAAACGUUUGCAGUUCCCCAUUUGAAGAUGACAGAAAGCCCAUAUCGACUGGUUCUGCCUUUGUUUUUGUUUUUCACUAAUUUAUAUUCACAAAAUGAAGCCAUAAGCUUAGACCUCACCGAAUGGAAAACAGGCAUGGACUUCAGCAGGCAAUAUAUUAGCAUAUUUAUCAACAUCCUUUAGAUUUUUGCUUUCAUUUUUUAAAUUACCAUGUAAACUUGAAGAUAACCCCAGUUUUCCCAUUUGUGGGAACAUAAGAAAGGGAGAUGAAAAAAAAUAAUAUUUGUCCCUUAUCUAUGAAGUGCUUUUAUUUUUUAAAUUUUUUUUAUUACCUGAAGAACUACAUUAUCGUCAAUAUGAAGUGCUGUUUUUUUAAGCAUUAUGAUUAGACUUAAGGAUUCUAAGGACUAAAGUAUUAAGGUGUUUUUUGUUGUUAUUUGCUAAUCAUUAAUCAACUGUUUUACCUGAUUAAUUUUCUCUUUGGGAAAAUAGAUUGAGAUUGUGAUCUGGGAGACCAAAGUAGACAUUACUUUAUCAAUGAAGAAGGACCUUAAGGUUAACGAAACAAAAAGUUGGCCAGGUGAGGUGGCUCACGCCUGUAAUCCCAGCACUUUGGGAGGCAGAGGUGGGUGGAUCACGAGGUCAGGAGUUCAACACAAUCCUGGCCAACAUGGUGAAACCCCGUCUCUACUAAAAAUACAAAAUUAGCUGGGUACGGAGGCACACACCUGCAGUCCCAGCUACUCAGGAGGCUGAGGCAGGAGAAUUGCUUGUACCUAGGAGGCGGAGGUUGCAGUGAGCUGAGAUCAUGCCAGUGCACUCCAGCCUGUGUGAUGGAGCAAGACUCCGUCUCAAAAAAAAAAAAAAAGAAAAAAAAAUUUUACCUAUGGAUUGAGAGCUUAGGGCCCAGCUGGCCUUGCGAAUUUCUAAAUUCCUGUAAGAAAAUCCACACUCUUGCUAAACUCCCUAACAAUAGGAGCUAUUGGGCAAAUUAUCCUAACUCCAAUUUGCAAUCCAGACCACUACUAUUCUGAUUGGACAGAGGACAGGCCUUACAAACAUUCUUUUCUGAUGAGCAAUUGCAGACCUUAAGCCAGUUUCAGCCAGCUUAUAGAGGCUGCACACACACUGUCUUUGUGUCCUAUAGUUCACCUUUUGCCCCAAAGUGAAUAUGGGAUGUAUAUUACAUGUUUGUUUAUUCAUUGCUCCUGUGCUUGGCUCUCCUCAUAAAUAUGUAUAGCUUCUACCCCAAACCUGCUGAAUACGUAUGACUCUAUUGUGUAAUACAGACUCUCAGAGGAAUGAGACCCAACCUGUCCUUCCCCUGUUUGAAGAGAGAGCAUCUUUGGUCCAUGCUGGAGACUUUCUCUUCCAGCUUGCAACUGAUAUCACCAAUAAAGCUCUUCUUUCUACUA
This is a long non-coding RNA of Homo sapiens (human), 2335 nucleotides long. RefSeq lists it as uncharacterized. Lineage: Eukaryota; Metazoa; Chordata; Mammalia; Primates; Hominidae. The transcript is spliced from 3 exons. The record is from RefSeq and is a predicted model, not a curated record.